RNAcentral lists this ribosomal RNA (253 nucleotides) under uncultured bacterium. Its description in RNAcentral is "partial 16S ribosomal RNA". It matches the Rfam family "Bacterial small subunit ribosomal RNA", at positions 524 to 776 of the family's 1533-position model. The record is from RNAcentral.
UACGAACUGCGCGAACGUUAUUCGGAAUCACUGGGCUUACAGGGUGCGUAGGCGGCUUCUCAGGUCCGAUGUGAAAUCCCCCAGCUCAACUGGGGAACUGCAUUGGAAACCGGGGGGCUCGAGUGAGCUAGAGGUGCACGGAACUUUCGGUGGAGCGGUGAAAUGUGUUGAGAUCGGAAGGAACACCAGAGGCGAAGGCGGUGCACUGGGGCUUGUCUGACGCUGAGGCACGAAAGCCAGGGGAGCGAACGGG